CUUUGAUACGAGGUGUCCGGAACCGGAAUCAUUAGCUACUACUGGAUAUGGUAUAAGUCUGAAAGUUCUAAUCUAGCUUUUAAGGGCAUAAGCCGAAUAAGAGGAUUGAGCUAGGCUUAAUAGACUAGGGUAACCAACCAACCCGCUCUUAUAUGAAAGUAAGAGACAUGCAACUACAAAGGCUUUGAAGCAAGCUUUAGGAGAGGUGGGCAAGGGAAGAAAGAGAAUCAGAGGAUGGAGCUGGGUUUACAGCCUCAACCAGUAGAGUAGUCCAGAGUACAGAACCAUCACAGUAUUUGUAGCCUGAGUAGAGGAUAAGACGGAGCCUAGCCUGUAGUUUAUGAGUUGAGAGCCGAGUUCAGGUAAGAAGAUAGUAGUCCUGUUGCAUCUGUAUUAGUUGACAGAGCCAGAGGUGAAGUAGUCUAAAGCAGCAAACGAUAAGUGAGUUGUUGCCGGGUAGCAAGUAUACGAGUAGUUAAGAGCUUCUUUGGAGCAAGAUCAGAGGGAUAGGGGCAAGGCUAGUAGAAAAGGUAUUUAUUCUCCUCUUAUUAGGGUAUGAGUAAAGGCGAACACUGAACUUAGUAGGAGGCGAGGAAGCUAGUCAAGUAAGUAAUCAGUAACAGAAGUAGGGUCGGGUCGGGCACUUAUAAGAGGUCGGUUCGGGUGCUUGUCUUGUGUUAAGCAAUGAGGAAAUAUAUCACCUUUGUAGGCUUGGCCCCUUACUAAAUUCUAGAUAAUCUUAUUAUAGGAUGACUGACAUUUAGGAUGACACUCGGGAUUCUACAACUCCUUAUAGAUAGCUGGUAUAGUCUACCAUUAAUUAUAAGGGCAGAGGCAAGAUCAGAGGAGAGGUCCGGCAAGUCAGAUAGAGUUAGUGCAGGUCGGGUGCUAGUGUUAAGCAAGUAGUCAAUCGAUAAGUUGUUGUUAAUUAAUCCAGAAAAAGCAAUAGAAAUUCUAUCUGUUAUUAGUAAGGAUUUAGUUUAGAAAGAGAGAAGCAGCUUUAAUAAGAGAAUAGUUGGAAGUUGCCGGAGCUCGGGUCUAUUAGAGGUCGGGUCGGUCGGGUGCUAAGAAGUUGGUUCGGGGAAGACAAGACAAUAAGUGUAUUGAGAGGAGAGGUCGGGUUCGGGAGACAGGGUUCCAUGAAUUGGAGUGAAAAGAGACUAUUCGAGGAAUUCGAGGAAGAAGAAAGUACUGGCUAGCAGUUCAGGGAAAGAAGAAAGUCAAGGCUUUGAUGCCAUAAAUAAGUACUGAGAGUUAGAGUCUAGAUAUGCAAGGUAUAAUCCUUAAGAGGUGGGCAAAAGGGAGACAAUAAACUCUCUAUCGGGGUAAAGUACUGGCUUUGAAGCGGGAAGUUCUGUGAAAAGGGGAGUUUCAUCUGUGAUCUGGAAUCAGUUCUCCUAUAAUAGAAUAUAAUAGAUAUGGGAUGUGGUUGCAGACACGCAUAACUGGAGUGGUUAGUUUCAAGAGCAAGAGAGGAAGCCGCAGGGUGCCUUUACUUUUGAUUGAUUAGAAGCCGGGGGUUAAUAAUAGAUUUAGAGUUGCGCGCAGGAAGUUGGCUUAGAGAGCUACAAUCACUAGACUUUAGAUCAGCGGUUUUCUACCUUCAUAGCCGUAGUCAACUAAUUCCAUUCCAAACUUCAAGGUCAAGGGGAGUUUCAACUGAUUGCCUGUCUUUCCUUCCCGCAACACCCCUUUCUCCUUAACUGCAAAAUCCAGAAAUCAAUCCAGUGCUCGUGCUCUCAAUCCGGGGGAGAUGAGUGGCCUUACGUAGUUGCUUGCCGGAUAGCAGUGGUUGGUUGGCCCCUACUUAAUUCAUUAUUAUCUUAUUAAGGAUCAAGUUGAGAAAGAUAGAAGUGCUUUGUUCGGGGGGAACUAUAUGGAACUAGUUGUCGACUUGCCUGAUAGCAAUUCCUCACUUCAAUACCUGCAUCGAGGUCAUCAAGGGAACCAUCAGAAGAGUUGAGGUCAGCAAGGGAAGCAGUUAGAAUAGAAGUAGGUACUCUCAAGUUCUAAUUUCACUACUAAGUAAUAGAGUUGACUACGCGGUAUUGAACUAAAGUGAUUACCGAGUCCUGUGUUUGGGGAAUUAGUUUCAUCCCGAGUGGAAUCUUCCUGCUGUGACCCAUAUUCUGCAUCUAAGGCAACUCAGUAGUUAAAGUCAGAAUGAUAGACCUAUGCCAAAUUCUCUGAUAGUGAACAAAGUAGUUGUAGUGAUAUUACCAAUCAGCCAAGGUAUACCUAUGAAAAGCACUAAGAUCAGAAUGAAACCACUGCCCAUAGGAAUCAAACUCUAGCUCCAGCAUAGGGGAAUCAAAGUAAGGCUUGGAAGCUAUGAAGCAAGGUUGUUACGCCUAGGCAGCAUCAGAAGAAAACUCAGUAGUACAGAAUUCCACUCAAAGCAAAGAGACUAGUACAUAUGGCUAUCAGGCAAGGAACGUAGUUAGUUACGCUAAAGUGUUGUUUCACGGGAAAACGUGACGAGUUGAAGACCUUUUAUCCCUAUUCGGCUCUGGCUCUGCUGGGCUUGUGGAAUUCUCUAUGUAUUGGCCCCUAGCCUGAGUCGAUGUCGGUGCUCUUGUUGAAGACCUUGUUGCGAGGGUAGUUUGUGAAGAAGCACUACAGGGUUGGGCAAGAAAGAAUCCCGUAUUUGGGGCUCCUCCUCUACUGGUCUCCUGUUCUUGUGAGAGUGGAUUUCUUUGUUUCAUCCGUUCUCCUACUUGAUGUUAAGGGUUGAAUCCGUUCUUAUUGGAUCAAAUGAAGGAGCUGUGGGAGUCGAGGAAUCAGAAAGUAAUGGCUUUGAAGCAAGCUUGAUAGGCUAGAGGUCGCUAAGUAUAUAUAUUCUUUCUAGGCAAUGUUGCAAGGUUAGUUUUAUGCUCACUGUAAACUUCCUUUCCAUUAUUAGAUGCGCUAGCAAUUAUGUAUUAGGGCCUUCCUUGCUUAUCUUAUUCUCUUGAAGUGAAGAAAUCAGAAUUAGUGGACUCGGUCUCAGGGAAGGGAGUGAAUCACUAGGCAGUGAAAGAGUUAAGAAGUAGCUUAUCGGCUUGGCUCAUAUAUCUCUUAUACCAUAUCUAAGGCUCGGCUUGAGCUAGCCUAAUAUGAGAAUGGAAAGGAGUUGGAUCUAUAGCAGAAGAAGAAUUCUUGUUACCCGCCUAGCCUAGGUAUUAUAGAAAGCUUGUUCCCCAGCUCUCGCUCUAGGUAUGAUAGAAAGAAGUAACCUCGGAUAGCUCCAUUAAGUACGGGCUCGGGGAGUUUACUGACUUGGAAGAAAAGAAAAGAGACCAGAAGGUUGUAGCUGUGCAAGGACUGGGUAGCCAGACAGAGCAGAGGUAGGCCCGGGAAGCUAUUCAAGCUAUCCGGCAAGUAGACAAGACAGAGUG
This 3377-nucleotide long non-coding RNA is filed under the name Musa acuminata (dwarf banana). Its description in RNAcentral is "long non-coding RNA (MACU_LNC010505)". Lineage: Eukaryota; Viridiplantae; Streptophyta; Magnoliopsida; Zingiberales; Musaceae. The record is from RNAcentral.